Notolabrus celidotus (New Zealand spotty) is the source of this 1075-nucleotide long non-coding RNA. RefSeq lists it as uncharacterized. Lineage: Eukaryota; Metazoa; Chordata; Actinopteri; Labriformes; Labridae. The record is from RefSeq and is a predicted model, not a curated record. The transcript is spliced from 2 exons.
GAACCCUAACUGGAUGUAAAUCUAUCUGAAAAGGGUGCAGGACUAUUAAACCUUAUAAAGAAAGCAAAACAUAACCUUGUAGAUGUGCUGGUUUAAAGCUACUUUAGUUGAUAAAGAGCUAAUGACUCUCCGACGCAAGUUCUAUAACAGACCUCAAUUUUAUGGUCAAAUAUUUCUGGUUUCUACCAAAGUUGUGAUCAACAUUUUGGGUUUCCGUUUCACCGUCAGAUCCACUCCCCCUGUGCAAAAUAAUCCAUUAUAUACAUAAUACAAAUACAUUAGUUUAGCUAAGUGGUCACAUUGAAUUAAUAAUCCUAUGACUGAAUGAAAGCAGAAAUUUUAACCACAUUAAACAUGACAAAGCUGGUGACAGUAGCUGCUCUGAUAGAAACCCAAUCCCCUUCUGUGUUUGUCAGUAACCAUGCUUUGGCAUGCCACCGAGUUAAUGCUCCACCACUGUUGCCUAGGAGGUAAUUAUGGCCCACAGUCAAAGGCCUGUAAAAUAAAACCACACACAUGCAGGUACUCACACUCAAGGUGUCUAUAGGUUGCCAUAGAGAACAAAGGCACUAGUUCCACAACAUGUGUGCAGGUUUAAAGGUUAUGACCAGUGUUUGAACACUAUUUACCUCUGGAGUCCUGAACAGCUGAACAGCACACUGUGGGGUCUUAAAUUUUGCUCAAUCAUGGGUUGUAACACAAGCCGCGGAGUCAUGGUGGUGGAUCCCUCUGAGAAACCCGAGGAGAGGCCAAAGACAGCCGCUUCAACCAAAGAGGCAUCUUCUGAGGAAGCUAAUGGAACAACAGACAAAGAAAAGGAAGAGAAAACAGAGAGUUCUGGCUGAGCACGAUCAACACUUCAUCUUUAACUUCUCUCAAAUGUGUACAGAUUGGCCUGUCCGGGUUGAAGGAGGGCCUGUCAGCAGGAGGAGGAGGCGACGCUGCACUACUGUCCAUCAACCUUUAUGUCAUCUGGACCAGGCGCACACACACACACAAAUACACACACUUCUGAAGAAUUACAGCUCCUGUUCAUAACCUACAGACUAUUUUGUGAUAAACACACUGAAUCAAA